UGGGAAGACAAUCAAAGCUUCGGGUACAUUUCGCUACCCGAUGGGCCAUUUAAACAUUUAUAAAGGGAUUUCAUUCAAUUGUCAUUUUCAACGCAUGCUUUCUGGUUGUAUAAAAGCUUUCCCAUGCAAGAAAGCUGAUGUUAUAACAGUAGAUUAUUAUGCUACAGUGUUUUUUUGCCAGGUAAAAUUCAUUGAGGACAAUCCCUUCACAAUCUAGAACUGGAAGAUUGGAUUUUCUGAAAACAUCGGAGAAAGACUGUCCUUGCCAUCCACACUACAGCAAAUCUUUGGAGACUUGAACUUUGGGUUCAUAAUCUCACAACUGAGAAGGGUCCCACCACACUCCUGGAACUGUGCACCCAUUGGAAACCUUAAGGUAAAACUAACCAGGAAUGUUUCUCCCCAGAAAAAGAUGGCAUCCUUGAUGUCAACAACUUUUCCCGAGAUCACAGAUCAAGACUUCUAUUAUCAUCAGACUCUUAUCUUUGAAUAUUUUUUCUUUGUUUAUGCCUCUAUAAAAAGGGUGUCUAUUAUUUGAACUUAUAGGGCAUAUUUUAUUUGUGAAGGAAUUUGCAGCCAGUCUUAUACAUGAAUAACCUUAUACUUUAAUAGAUAAAAGAUGAAAGCCCAAUGUAGGUGAGAAACUUCGGGGGUCAAAACUCCUCUUAAUCCACAUCAAGGAUUAAAGAGAACAGUGCCAGGAGGCCUUCACUCUUCUAGAAGGACAUCAUUUGUUAGGUCCUUUUUCCAUGAUUUAGAAUAAAAGAGACAAUAAUUAGAAAUGUCACCCUCACAAUAUGCUCUACAGCAAAUUCUACCUUAAAGGCUAUCAUUACACAACAGACUUUAAAUCCUCUUGUGAAAGUUAUGCUAAAUAAUACAAUUGGCUAAAUAGAAAAGUACCUGUGCAGAUGCUGACACUAGUGGCCUAUGGAGAAAUACAUCAAAUGUAGAUUAUAAAAAUUCAUUUGUAGGGUUUCAAUAAAAAGGACACUUAGUCAAAUGAGUAGAUUCUUCAUCUAGCUCAUUCUUUAAUCUAUUUAAUUUUAUGUGGUUUGGUUUAUGGGGACUCUGGAUAAGGCACAUACUCCAAACUCUUGGUAUUAUCCUCCUGAUGGUCACAGUAAUAGUCUCCCUGGUGCGCUGUAUUCUCUUAAAGGUUUUAAGUAUUUGCAUGCAGCCAUCUCUAGAACAUCAAAUGGUCUCUCUUCAACUAGAAUGACAAAAGCUGAAAGAAAUGUGUGACCAUGAGGACACCAUAAACUAUGAAUGACAUACUGAGACCAGAAACCCAAAAUGAUGGUAACUGAGAGUAGUGCUGAGGCCCUAAGUUUUGGUCACACUCUCACCGAAGUGAGAACCUGGCUGAAAAGGGGGAGUUUUUUUUUUUUUAAACGAAAUUAUGGGAGGCCAUUAUUUUGGACUGAGCUUAUGCACUAGGCCCCAACAAACCAAACCAAACUAAAAUGGAGUCACGUGUGCUAAAUGUGACAUAACCAAACUAAGGCUUUAAGAAACACAUAGAUCCUAGAACAGAUAGGGUUUUGUUUUUCUCCUGUGGACAGGUUGUUCCAGCAUAAGGAGGUACCCUCUACUCAGUCCUUAUUCUCUCCUUGCAAAACACACUAUUCUAUUGUUUCCCAGUGAGUUUCAAAACCAUAUAAGUACAUUUACGAUAGUAAUAGUAACAUGAAUGACUAAGAUUUUGGUCAUUUUCUCAAAAUUGAGAAAAUGACCAAAAGUGGGGAAUUGUUAAAGCAAACUAAAUAUGGCCUGAGAAGGACUCCAUACUUCUCUAUUUGAGUCCUUGUGAAUGAACUGUAACCUAGCUUAAUAGUCAGACAAAAUUGAAAACCUAACUUAAUACUAUGCACCUGUAACAAUGGCUGAGUGUUGGCCAAUCCCAGUGGCCAUACUUCAACCACUCACAGACUGCUGAAUGUUCAAACUGCAUUCAAAUAAGGCAAACGUCAAGCUUAACCAAUCUCACUGUUUCUGUACCUCACUUCCAAUUCCUGUAAGUCACUUCACCUUUUUGUCUAUAAAUUUGUUCUGACCAUGAGGACCACGAGGCACCCCUGGAGUCUCUGUGAAUCUGCUGUGAUUUUGGAGGCUGCCCGAUUCAAGAAUCUCUCAUUGCUCAAUUAAACUUCUUUAGAUUAAUUCAGCUGAAGUUUUUCUUUUAUCAAUAGAAAUAUGUUACAUAAAUGGAAACCACUAAACAUAAAACAAAACAAGAAAACCAAGGGCCUUGUACAACUGGUAUACAAUGUAUAAGAAAAAUGUAUACCUUUACUUUGAUACCAAAUGUGAAAAUAGGUAAAACCAGCUUAGUGGAGAUGAUAAAACUGAUUGUACAUAGUUUUUUCACUUGGUCAAUAGAGACAAUGACCAGGGUUUAUCUAGUUUCCUAAACAAAUUAUUUUGCUUUCUUAUGUGCAAAUAUAUGAUUAGAAUGUAGUAAUGCGGUGGAAAAGUUAACUUUUUCUGUCCAUUUCUCACAUGAAUUAAAAUCCGAGCUGUGGUCAAUGUGGAGUAGCUUUCUGAUGCAAUAACCUGCUUAGAUGCCUGCAUGGGGUGCCUCUAAUUCUUCAUAUCUGGAGUCACAAACCCAAUCCUAGAGUUUGUGAUCAGUCCAGUUUCCAAUGAGGAGGGAGUUAAACAACUUAGUGUUGCCAGCAUUGUAAUACCAGCAAAACACUUGUAUAAUAUAUACUAUGUGCCAGGUACCAUGUUGAACACUAAUAUGUAUAUAUACUCAAACUCAUGAAGUUAACGCUAUUAUCUGAAUUUUAUAGAUUUGGAAACUGAAGCACAGAUAGCAUAAGUAACUUGACCACAGUCAUAUAUCUACUACAUUGCAGAGCCGGGAUUCAAAUCUAGACAGGCUGGUUUCAAAGUCUAGGCUCUCAAUUGCUGUACCAUUUGCUUCUUCUAUAUUACGGUGCUUCUGUAGUAUGUCAGCUCCUUUGGUCUUGCUCUUAACUUUUGGCCUAUGAUAUACUGCUCUUUCCUAGUUACUGCUACCAGUAUUGAUAACAGUAUGCUACUAUUUUAUUAUUAAAAUGAAAAAUUUAUACGUGAAAAAUCUUAAUUUAAAUAUAUAGAUUAAUUGAUCAUUAUAACAUUCAUAUGGAGAGGUCAAAGUGAGCAUUGUUAUCUCAUGCUACACAGUUGAGAAACUGCAAUUCAGUGCUUUACCCAAAGUCAUCCAAAUAGGAACAUGCAAAGCCAAGACUUGAACACAAAUCUUCUGAUUGCAAGCACAGAGCUCAUUGACCACACUGUACCUCUUUCUUACAAUAUGGCUUUCUUAGUGCCGGUUUUCUCUCUGAGGACCUGUUUCUUCCUUUAGCUAGCUACACAGAGACUGCUCACUCCUUCAUGUGUUAUCUGCCCUCACCUAUGGCAGGCAUAUCAAAGAUAAUCACCUCAGAAUUAAAUACAACGUUUGUGCAAGAGAUGUGCCCAGACAGCAGCAGGGGAUCAUUUGGUUUUAUUUCCUGUUCAUCUUUGCAUUCUUAGCCACGCUGUGCUCUUCCUGUUUAUUCUGCCGUUUCAUGGUUUGUAAGGAAUUUGAUUGAUUAGUUUUAAUUAGUGUUCUUGGUACUUAGAAAAGGCCCCAACCUUCUUUCAUUGCAAAAUUAAUAAAUACUAGGAAGGAGAGGCUUCUAAUAGCAUUUGAGCCCUGCAAAGUUGUUACUGGGUCUCAUAAUCCAUUAGCCUUUUCCUAAUAGGAAUCUCCUUCAUCAUAAGUUGCUAAUAAAACUGAUUUAUUUUGUUGUUUCUAAAAAUCCAAGUCUUAGCAAUUAACUUAUAUUUCAAAGCAAGAUAUAACUGUGAUGAACGUUAUCAGAUUUCAAAAUUUGGUUUAACCUCUACAAGACAGUCAGCUUAUAGUUGAUAUGUUUCUUGAGUUUUAUUAAAAUCACCCAACUGCUUAUUUUGGCUAAAUACUUUGGUGGCAAUGCGAAAGAAGAUAAAUGGUUAUUAAAUGUUGCAUAAAACAAAGAAGUCAGGCAAAGAAUGGGCAGAAAAGUGUGAUUGGUCAGUGGUUGCAAAAAAAAAAAAAACCCAGUUGCAAUUACUACAGGCAUUUGACUCUGAAGACCUCAGCAUGUCUCGAGUACUUACUUAAAGGACCCUGACCUUUGAUGGCCAGCUUUGUGAGUUACCUCUUUCCACUACAGAUUUAAUGUAAUUUAGUAUCUUCUUAACAAUGUCUUUGUCAGACCAUAUAAGGUAUGGUUUGGCUCUGUGUCCCACCCAAAUCUCAUGUCGAACUGUAAUUCCCAUGCGUCAGGGGAGGAACUUGGUGGGAGGUGAUUGGAUCACAGGGGUGGAUUUCCCCCAUAUUGUUCUCAUGAUAGUGAGUUCUUAGAAGAUCUGAAGGUUUAAAAGUGUUGCACUUCCCCCUUUGCUCUCUUUCUCCUGCUGCCAUGUAAGUAAGACUUGCCUUGCUUCCCCUUCUCCUUCAGCCAUGAUUGUAAGUCUCCUGAGGCCUCCCUGGCCAUGCAGAACUGUGAGUCAAUUAAACUUCUUUUCUUUGUAAAUUACCCAGUCUUGGGUAUUUCUUUAUAGCAGUGUGAAAAUGGACUAAUACAAUAUGUAACAAGUUUUAAUAAUUUGUUAGGAGCCCAGAAAGAACCACAAAAGUUUAAGAACUCUGAGAAAGAAGAAAACUAAACAAUAAGUAAAAGUAAUUCCUAGAGUGCACAGAGGUAUAAAUUAAUAACAACAAAUAUAGAUCAGAUAGUAUUAUUUUGACAACUUCACUGUCUUCAUAUAACUUCAGAGAAGCCAGGCUGAUAUCUAAAAUUAUUUAACUUAUGCGUGUAAUCCCAGUGCAUUUGAAGGCAAGGUAGGAGGGUGCCUGGAGGUCAGGAGCUUGAAAUUGAAUUGGGCAACACAGUAAGACCUCAUCUCCACAAAAAAUAAAGAAAGUUAGCCAGGUGUGGUGGGGCACCUCAGUGGUCCCAACUAUUUGGGAGGCUAAGGCAGGAGGAUCACUUGAGCUCAGGAGUUUGAGGCUGCAGUGAACUAUGGCCAUACCACUGUACUCCAGCCUGGGCAAUAGAGUGAGAUUCUGUUCAAAAAAACCCCACAAUUAUUUAACAGAUUAUAAUUGUUGCCUCCAGGGUGUACUCUGAAGCUGAUAAUAAAAUGCCAUACCUUUCACUCAGUAUGUCAUAAUCAGAAAGCUCUGUAAAAAUACAGAUCUUAAAAUAUUAUGUUUAUGACCACUGGGGUAUAGAAGCCAGGGCAUAGGCAUGUAGAUAGAUAUUGUAUUGGUCCCUUGAAAGACUACUGUAGUUCUUCUCUUAUAUAUUCACAUCUUGCACAAGUGGAGUCAGUUUUUAUUCUGUUUUAGAUUAUGUAAUUUAUGUUCCAUUGUGUAAUGUUAUUUCCUUACAUUAUUAGUAAAUCCAGUAUUUUGACCAACCUGUCUUUUUGUCUUUUUUAAGUUGGUUGUCUGCCUAUCUAUAAAGCCAUUCUUCCAUCUUUAGUUCUUAUCAAAUCAGUCUUUUCUAUUUGAUGCUGUUUUUAAAUGAUUCUUUCCUAAUUUUCUCUAGCUUUUCUCUGUGCCAAUAAGUAUCUGAUCUAAAACUCAAUGAAUGUUCCAAUAUAAAUUGGUGAUAUUCUUAAAUACACUUAAUUUUCUGGAAGUUAAUUCAAUAGUUAACUCUUUAUUUACAGAUAUUAUCUCAGACAAGUGCUUUUCCCCCCUAGUCUCCCUAGGUGGUGCCAACAAAAUUUUUCCUCACUCAAAAUCCUGUAGAUUGAUUGUCUUCUUUUCAGGUUGCUGACUUUCUUUGCAGCUGAGAUUCUCUGUGAGAUGUCUACUAACCAUUAGUAGAAAACUAGUGAUUUUUGUUACUAAUGUAAUUAACAAUUGUUCAGAGACUUCAAUUUACUUCAAUUGAUGAAAGAUGACCAUUCCAUAACCCCUGUGGGAUAACACUCAGAAUGUGAGUAUGACCAUUCUAUAACUAUUGUAGGAUAGCACUGAGAGUGUGAGUUUACCAAUUCCAGUUUUAUUCUAAACUGAGUCUCUGUAUGAUUUCAUGUCUUCAAACAAUCAGUUGCUAAGAUACCCUUUGUCAAACAAUCCAGUAAUUCAAUAGGGAAAAAAUAGUCUUGUUUUUGCCAAGUCAAAACAGGUGAACUGUUCCAAAUAAAAAUAUAAAAGAUUAUGAAUCCAUGAACUCUUAACCCCUAAAAUAAUGUAGAAAAUUGUGAUCUGUGAAUGUAUGCAUUUUCCAGGGAGAGGAUUUUUUUACUCUUAUUAGAUUGUCAGCUCCUUGCACAGUGCUUGACACAUUGUUAAAUCUGAAUAAAUAUGAGUUGACUGAAGUAUGACUAAGUAAUUCUAAAAAUGAUUCCUUCAUUAUUAAAAAGGAGUCUAGGAAUGACCAGAAUUACUUUUUUUUUCUGUCAAUUUUCCUCUCUAAAAAUCUUAGUUUCUCCUUUUUGAUUUUCUGAGGAGGUGACUACUGGACGUUCUGAAUCCUUCAUGUUUCUUGACUUUUCUUUCAUACUUUCUAAUUCUUUAUCUCUUUAUGAUAUAUUCUGGAAAAUUCCUUUACAAUAUUUGCUGGGAAAUUCAUCAAUUCAGACUCCUAGCUCACCAAUCCACCUUCAGCUGUGUUUUUUCCCCUGCUAUUCAUAUUAUUGAAAUGUUUUAAUUUUGAUUUCAAUACUAUUUUCUCAUGGUAUUUUUUUCCCCCACUAGCCUGAUUUUAUUCCUUAGAUUUGAUGACCUCUUUCUGCUUAUCACUCAUCCAGGGAUUCCUAAUGGUUUCUGGUCCAUGGAGGUUCCUUUUCUUGAUUUUGAAUGUAGUUAUGGUUUGAAAAGAUAAUUUGAUGUCAUUUUUAGAAAUCCAAGAUGAUCAGGCCUGAGGGAAAUGAUACAUGUGUGCCUACCCUCUUUAGGUAGAAGUCCUUACUUUUUCUCCGAGUGUCUUUUGAAGCCAGUUACCCCCCACUUAAAAAAAUAGUAUUUCUUAUUAUAUUGUAAAAAUCUUAUGGAAACGUUGUUAGGUCUAAAAAAAUAAAUGAAACCCAUAAAAACUAAAUCACACUGUUAAAUAUCGCUAUUAGUGUUUUUGAUAAAUAUCUUUUUAUUGAAUGAGACUUUCUUAUUUCUUGUAUGUUCAACUCAUGGGAUGGAAGCAGGAGAUAUCCAUGAGCUGAGAAAAACACACUUAAGGUUAAAUUCAUGGAGGAGGACAAUGUAAUGGCUCUGUACUCAUUGCUCUUCAUCCCACUGCUGUGUGCUAUUGUCUUUGUGAUCUUCAUGAUUGGAUUUUGCUUCUUCAAGGAAGAUAUAAAAGAGCCCAAGUAAUUCUGGAAACCAGCAUUUUACCCUUGACCUCCUGCUUUUCAUCCUACUGGUCCUCGCCAGAAGUCGCUGGUUGCCUGGUAUAAGAAAACAAUCAUAAUUAUCUCAUUAAUACUUGGACCUGGCCUCCCUGCUAAUCAGGUUUGUACUGCUGAGAUUUCAAAGGAGAACAGAAAUCUACUAAGAAGAAAUAAAUUGGUUCUCAGGCUAUAAAUAGUUCUAGGAAGCUGCCCAGGGACAAAAAUUUGCCUGCUGGUGAAAUAAAAGACCAUGUAAACUGUAGAUUUAUUUGGAGAGUAUAGUUCCAUGAAUUUAACUGGUCUAGACUCUGGGCCUCUGGAAGGCAGAGACCAUGCUCUCAGCCUUGCCUUUAGUACCUUGUCUGUAACAGGCUAUCAGAUAUGUUGAUUGUGUCAAAGAUAAGCAAAUUCUGAAAUGAGUAAUUUUUUUCAUUCUCUAUCCUCUCUGAAUUCACUUAGUGCCUCUCAGAAUGUGUCUGAGUGGAAAGGGAUUUGCACAGGAUAUGUCCAAACAGGUUAUUGUAACUUUGGAGGUAAACUCUUGUCUAUCAUUCCAUGCACUUCAUUAUUAUUUAUAUCCAUUUCUUUCUUUCUUUCUUUGUUUAUUUAUUUAAGUAAUUGGUCAUGAAAUAGACUUGCAUGCUGAAUACUGAAAUGUGGUGUUUGACACUUGUAAAUUAUUCCAGAUUAUAUAUGAGACUAUAAUAGAUAAAAGUGAUUUAGAUAAUAAAGUGAUCUGUAAUUGAAGUAAAUGAGAGCUGGGUGCUGUGGCUAAUGCCUUGUACUCCCAGCACUUUGGAAGGCUGAGGCAGUAGGAUCGCUUGGGUCCAGGAGUUUGAGACUAGCGUGGCAACAUAGCUAGACCCUGUCUCUACAAAAAGUAAAAAAUUAACCAAGUGUGGUGAUGCGCACCUGUAGUCUCAGCUACACAGGAGGCUGAGGUGGGAGGAUCACUUGAGCUCCAGAUGUUGAGGCUGAAGUGAGCCAUAAUCAUCCUACUGCACUCCAGCCUGGGUGACAGAGGAAGACCAUGUCUCAAAAAAAAAAAAAAAAAAAAGAGAAGUAAAUGAAAACUUAGAGAAAUAGUAGUUGCAACUUCCAAACCAAAGCUUGUAAUUCUGGUCACUAUGACUUGGAAAUAUUUUCCAGAACAACUGUGACUCUUGCCGUUGCUCUAUAAAAUACUGGCAAGGUCCAAAAGGGAAUUUUCCCCCACUGUGUAUAAUAUUAUUAGACAGAUGGUAUUGUAUAGAUGUUCAUAAUGAUAAUUUUUUAAAAUUAGCACAGCAAAUAUUAACUGAACAUGAUCUUCAUGUCCUGUUCCACACAGGUUGUAUUUGUUGAUGUGGACUCUGAUAAAACUGAAAGUUCUUUACUAAUGAAUGCAAAACCAUCUCAUUGCUUACAUUCUUUCUAGAAUUUGCAUAUGCAAAGAUACAAAUUCCAGAAAUAGCACUCAAGAGAACAGUCUGUAGAAAUCUUGUCUAACAACUCUAAAUUUUCAAUCAGCAUUGAAUCAGAAUUAUAGCCAUAGUUCUCUGAAUUAUUCAUGAUAAAUAGAUGACUGGCUACCCAUGGGACUCUGAUACAGCGCUUUCAAUGUGGUAAAAUAAUUAGAAUUGUCAUAUCCACUCUUUGUAAAAUUAUGAGAACUGUUAUUUAUUAAUAGCAAAUGUCAUAACAUAAUCCAACUGUUAUUUUCC
This 9065-nucleotide long non-coding RNA is filed under the name Homo sapiens (human). Its description in RNAcentral is "HSALNT0086966". The record is from RNAcentral. Lineage: Eukaryota; Metazoa; Chordata; Mammalia; Primates; Hominidae.